This 484-nucleotide ribosomal RNA is filed under the name uncultured bacterium. Its description in RNAcentral is "partial 16S ribosomal RNA". It matches the Rfam family "Bacterial small subunit ribosomal RNA", at positions 28 to 523 of the family's 1533-position model. The record is from RNAcentral.
GACGAACGCUGGCGGCGUGCUUAACACAUGCAAGUCGAACGAUGAAGCUAGAGCUUGCUCUGGUGAAUUAGUGGCGAAUGGGUGAGUAACACGUGAGUAACCUGCCCCGAACUCUGGGAUAACUGCUGGAAACGGUAGCUAAUACUGGAUACGACCUACGAAGGCAUCUUCUGUAGGUGGAAAGAAUUUCGGUUCGGGAUGGACUCGCGGCCUAUCAGCUUGUUGGUGAGGUAAUGGCUCACCAAGGCGACGACGGGUAGCCGGCCUGAGAGGGUGACCGGCCACACUGGGACUGAGACACGGCCCAGACUCCUACGGGAGGCAGCAGUGGGGAAUAUUGCACAAUGGGCGCAAGCCUGAUGCAGCAACGCCGCGUGAGGGAUGACGGCCUUCGGGUUGUAAACCUCUUUUAGUAGGGAAGAAGCGAAAGUGACGGUACCUGCAGAAAAAGCACCGGCUAACUACGUGCCAGCAGCCGCAGUAA